This 1152-nucleotide ribosomal RNA is filed under the name bacterium symbiont of Lamellibrachia sp. Guiness. RNAcentral describes it as "bacterial LSU rRNA". It matches the Rfam family "Bacterial large subunit ribosomal RNA", at positions 1080 to 2225 of the family's 2925-position model. The record is from RNAcentral.
AGGACAUAGACAGCUAGGAGGUUGGCUUAGAACAGCCAUCCUUUAAGAAAGCGCCCUAGCUCACUAGUCGAGUCGGCCCGCGCGGAAGAUUUAACGGGGCUUAGCCAUGUACCGAAGCUGCGGAUGCGUGUUUCACGCAUGGUAGAGGAGCGUUCUGUAAGCCUGUGAAGGUGUGUUGUAAAGCAUGCUGGAGGUAUCAGAAGUGCGAAUGCUGACAUGAGUAACGAUAAAGGGGGUGAGAGGCCCCCUCGCCGAAAACCCAAGGUUUCCUGCACAACGCUAAUCGGUGCAGGGUUAGUCGGCCCCUAAGGUGAGGCAGAAAUGCGUAAUCGAUGGGAAUCAGGUUAAUAUUCCUGAACUACUUAUUACUGCGAUGGGGUGACGGAGCAGGCUAGAUCAUCCGGGUGUUGGUUUACCCGGUUUAAGCGUGUAGGGAGUCAGUUUAGGUAAAUCCGGACUGGCAAUUCUGAGACGUGAUGACGAGUCUCUUUUGAGACGAAGUGAUUGAUGCCAUACUCCCAGGAAAAACCUCUAAGCUUCAGGUAAUAAGUAACCGUACCCCAAACCGACACAGGUGGGUGGGAUGAAAAUUCUAAGGCGCUUGAUAGAACUCUGGUGAAGGAACUAGGCAAAAUUGUACCGUAACUUCGGGAGAAGGUACGCCCCUGGUAUGUGAAGAGACUUGCUCUCGGAGCAGAAGGGGGUUGCAAUAAAAUGGUGGCUGCAACUGUUUAUUAAAAACAUAGCACUCUGCAAACUCGAAAGAGGAAGUAUAGGGUGUGACGCCUGCCCGGUGCCGGAAGGUUAAUUGAUGGGGUUAGUCUUCGGACGAAGCUCUUGAUCGAAGCCCCGGUAAACGGCGGCCGUAACUAUAACGGUCCUAAGGUAGCGAAAUUCCUUGUCGGGUAAGUUCCGACCUGCACGAAUGGCGUAAUGAUGGCCACACUGUCUCCACCAGAGACUCAGUGAAAUUGAAAUCGCUGUUAAGAUGCAGCGUACCCGCGGCUAGACGGAAAGACCCCGUGAACCUUUACUACAGCUUUGCACUGGACUUUGAACCUAUUUGUGUAGGAUAGGUGGGAGGCUUUAAACCUUUACGCUAGUUUCGGCGGAGCUAACCUGAAAUACCACCCUGGUAUGUUGAAGUUCUAA